UACGGGGGGGGCAAGCGUUGUUCGGAUUCACUGGGCGUAAAGGGUGCGCAGGCGGUUGGGUGUGUCAGAUGUGAAAUCCCGAGGCUCAACCUCGGAACUGCGUCUGAAACUACUCGACUAGAGUACUGGAGAGGGUAACGGAAUUCACGGUGUAGCAGUGAAAUGCGUAGAUAUCGUGAGGAACACCAGAGGCGAAGGCGGUUACCUGGACAGUUACUGACGCUCAGGCACGAAAGCGUGGGUAGCAAACAGG
Molecule: ribosomal RNA, 253 nt
Filed under: uncultured bacterium
Lineage: Bacteria
Description: partial 16S ribosomal RNA
Rfam family: Bacterial small subunit ribosomal RNA
Source: RNAcentral